CAAAUAAACAAGUGCUGAGCAUGUGC
RNAcentral lists this non-coding RNA (26 nucleotides) under Rattus norvegicus (Norway rat). The record is from RNAcentral. Lineage: Eukaryota; Metazoa; Chordata; Mammalia; Rodentia; Muridae.